GUAAGAAUGUAGGUAAUGCGCAGAAAGUUCCUCCCUCGAGACCCUGCCAAUCAUCCCAUGUCCGCGGAGUGACUUACCGCCAUUGUUGCUGAAGUCCCCUUAUCCGUGGGCGCAAGAUAAGAAAGAGCUACUCACAAGUUACUAGUGGAAACAAUAAUGUUAGGCGCCAAACUUAAUCAUCUUGGACAUAUGGUCGAACAUCUGGAAACAGAUUGUUAUUAAUAGGUAACAAACCAAGGACAGUAAUAAGAAGCAGCUAGAAGGUGAAAGGCUCUAUAUCUCGGCUUGGACUUUGGUACUUCUGGUGCUAGAUUUGCCAUUAUUGACAUUUUUGGUACAAUUCAAGCCGAGGCUAAGAGAAACUAUCCGCUAUAUUAGGGUGAAGAUGAAGGUUUCUACCAAUGUUUUUAUUCUUUAAACCACUAGAUAUCAUCAAUGGAGGUGUCAGAAGUGCACCACCUGCAGAAAUUGUUACUUUGGCCUCAAUCUGCAGCUUCAUUGUGACUCUACUCUUUAAAGUCUUUGCCAAAACACCCAAACAUUUCUUCUUUCUUGCAUUUCCAUUCUUGUAAUUACUUUCAAACAAAAACCUCUCAGCUUUGCAUCCUGUUAUUAUCACAGCACCUUUUUCAACAGCAUCUACAAGCCAUGUAAUUUGAGUCCCUUGCUUCUCUCCUUUUGGACAACCAUAACCACAUGAACCACAAUAAUGAUUAUUCCCCGAUGAAUUUCUUGGAACAUAAUCAACUUUUAAGCCAAGAUUUUGACACCCUUUUCGCAGUACUUGAUUUUGUAACCCUUCUUGUGUACAAUUUUCAUUGACACCAAUUCUCUCACACACAGUUUCCAUAGCAGAUAGAUACUCUAAGCUUGAAAAUAUGGAAAGUUUGUGUUCCUCUGACCAUUCUUUUAACACUUUUUUUGGUGUUCUUAUGCAAGCUGACCAAUUAACAGCUGAGCCGCCACCAACUGUUGAACCUGCCAAAACAAGUAUUCUUGAAUCAACAGAAGCUAACAUUCCUCCACAUUCAUAUUGUUGAUCCAUCGAAGGACCUUCUAGUGAUGAAUAAUCCUCUGGAACAAAAUAGUUUCCUUUCUCUAGAACAAGCACUUUGUGUCCUGCAUUUGAAAGGACAGAAGCUGCUACACCUCCUCCAGAGCCAGAACCAACAACUACUGCAUCACAUUUUAUUUUGAGUGUGUUGUUUUUGGAGUCUAGUGUAACAUUGAGGCCUUUGUUAAUUAGAGAUUGUUGAAGAGUUGAGUCAUUUUCGUGCAUGGUUUCUAUAAUCCCUUUUUCAAGGGGUCUCUUUUUGGUCACAUUUGUUGUUUUCUCAUCACCUGAUGAUACCACAUAUCCAAUGGCUUUCCAUGCUGGAUUAUCACCAUUUUCAUCAACCUGAAAAAUAAGAUGGUUAAUUAAUUGAUAAAUAAGAGAAGUAUUAUGUAGCAAGGCUGAAGAAUUAAGACAUACCCGAGAGAAGAAAACAAAGAGGCAUAGGACUUUGAUAUAAGCAAAUGUGAGUCUAAAAGGAGUGAGGAACUUAUGAUUGAGACCCCUCUGCACAAUCUUCUCUCUUUUAUCCAAAGACAUACUUGAGAAGUUGUUGAUAAAGGGCCAUUCCUUACUAAGACAGAGCAAACCACAAAUCAACAAAGUGCCUAACCUUGUUGCUAGAAGCCAUAGAAUCACUCUAAUCAAUAUCACUGCUUCUGUUACUGCCCUCUUCAAUAUUGUCUCAGCUACCUCGUGAGGGAUUGGAUACUGCGAAGCAGAGAUGUUGAAGAAAGACUGCACAUUCUUGAUUGAAAUAUCAUCAUCAUCAUCAUCAUCAUCAUGUUGGUCUUCUUUUUUAAGCUUCUUCAUAGCAUCAAUAUCCAUUGGCAAUGAAGGCAACACAACCUCACAUAUACUUGUGAGUGAAUCCAUCUCAUAUACAGAAAAUCCAUAUUUAUAUUUGCUAUUCUCUCUCACACCCCUCAACAAUGGAUGACACUCCCUUCUCAUAUUUCUUUCUCUUUGUGCUGUGAUCACUUAUGAUUGAUCACCACCUUAUAUAUACAAGAACUAAUAGUUAAUAUAGAUGUGAAAAUAAUUGAUAUAUGGAGAUAUAUGUAUAUAGGAUAAUCUGCUAGAGUGAUAUCUAAUUAUUUAUGUGAAAUAAAUGUGGGGAGUUGGAAGGGGAAGAUAGUGAAAGAAAGGGAUGCAACUGAUGAACGUUGUAUUUAUUUAUGUUUUGCUAUUCUUGA
This is a long non-coding RNA of Trifolium pratense (red clover), 2250 nucleotides long. RefSeq lists it as uncharacterized. The transcript is spliced from 3 exons. The record is from RefSeq and is a predicted model, not a curated record. Lineage: Eukaryota; Viridiplantae; Streptophyta; Magnoliopsida; Fabales; Fabaceae.